GUAAACGAUCAUACCAUGUUGAAAACACCAGUUCUCGUCCGAUCAUUCAAAUGUUAAGUAACGCAAAAUUGUGCGCGAUUUAGUACUUCGAUCGGUGACCGCUAGGUAACGUAGCUUGUUGUAUGGC
RNAcentral lists this ribosomal RNA (127 nucleotides) under Aedes aegypti (yellow fever mosquito). The record is from RNAcentral. Lineage: Eukaryota; Metazoa; Arthropoda; Insecta; Diptera; Culicidae.